Molecule: ribosomal RNA, 1423 nt
Filed under: Salmonella enterica
Lineage: Bacteria; Pseudomonadati; Pseudomonadota; Gammaproteobacteria; Enterobacterales; Enterobacteriaceae
Description: partial 23S ribosomal RNA
Rfam family: Bacterial large subunit ribosomal RNA
Source: RNAcentral
CAAGACAACUUUACGGAGUUGACGAUUGACGGAGCGAAGCGACGUCAAAGCGUUCAUUAAAGUCGAGUUGGCUUAGGGAUACGUUCGUUGGGUAGGGGAGCGUUCUGUAAGCCUGUGAAGGUGUGUCGUGAGGCAUGCUGGAGGUAUCAGAAGUGCGAAUGCUGACAUAAGUAACGAUAAAGCGGGUGAAAAGCCCGCUCGCCGGAAGACCAAGGGUUCCUGUCCAACGUUAAUCGGGGCAGGGUGAGUCGACCCCUAAGGCGAGGCCGAAAGGCGUAGUCGAUGGGAAACGGGUUAAUAUUCCCGUACUUGGUGUUACUGCGAAGGGGGGACGGAGAAGGCUAUGUUGGCCGGGCGACGGUUGUCCCGGUUUAAGCGUGUAGGUGUGUGUUCCAGGUAAAUCCGGUUCACUUUAACACUGAGGCGUGACGACGAGGCACUACGGUGCUGAAGCAACAAAUGCCCUGCUUCCAGGAAAAGCCUCUAAGCAUCAGGUAACACGAAAUCGUACCCCAAACCGACACAGGUGGUCAGGUAGAGAAUACCAAGGCGCUUGAGAGAACUCGGGUGAAGGAACUAGGCAAAAUGGUGCCGUAACUUCGGGAGAAGGCACGCUGACACGUAGGUGAAGUGAUUUACUCAUGGAGCUGAAGUCAGUCGAAGAUACCAGCUGGCUGCAACUGUUUAUUAAAAACACAGCACUGUGCAAACACGAAAGUGGACGUAUACGGUGUGACGCCUGCCCGGUGCCGGAAGGUUAAUUGAUGGGGUCAGCGCAAGCGAAGCUCCUGAUCGAAGCCCCGGUAAACGGCGGCCGUAACUAUAACGGUCCUAAGGUAGCGAAAUUCCUUGUCGGGUAAGUUCCGACCUGCACGAAUGGCGUAAUGAUGGCCAGGCUGUCUCCACCCGAGACUCAGUGAAAUUGAACUCGCUGUGAAGAUGCAGUGUACCCGCGGCAAGACGGAAAGACCCCGUGAACCUUUACUAUAGCUUGACACUGAACAUUGAGCCUUGAUGUGUAGGAUAGGUGGGAGGCUUUGAAGUGUGGACGCCAGUCUGCAUGGAGCCGACCUUGAAAUACCACCCUUUAAUGUUUGAUGUUCUAACGUGGACCCGUAAUCCGGGUUGCGGACAGUGUCUGGUGGGUAGUUUGACUGGGGCGGUCUCCUCCUAAAGAGUAACGGAGGAGCACGAAGGUUGGCUAAUCCUGGUCGGACAUCAGGAGGUUAGUGCAAUGGCAUAAGCCAGCUUGACUGCGAGCGUGACGGCGCGAGCAGGUGCGAAAGCAGGUCAUAGUGAUCCGGUGGUUCUGAAUGGAAGGGCCAUCGCUCAACGGAUAAAAGGUACUCCGGGGAUAACAGGCUGAUACCGCCCAAGAGUUCAUAUCGACGGCGGUGUUUGGCACCUCGAUGUCGGCUCAUCA